Molecule: long non-coding RNA, 3429 nt
Organism: Oncorhynchus masou masou (cherry salmon)
Lineage: Eukaryota; Metazoa; Chordata; Actinopteri; Salmoniformes; Salmonidae
Exons: 3
Source: RefSeq, a predicted model, not a curated record
CAGCCCUUUGCAGAAGGCUGAAGGCGAGGUUCCACAUUGGGCUCCUAGCUUGCCAGUAAGCAUCCACCGUAUUUCACAGGGCUCUGCUGGGGAGGGCACCAUGGCUGUGCUGUCAGAGAGGUUCCUUCAGAGAGAAGAGGGAUAGGAAAUAGAGGAGGCCACAACGAGAAGAGGAGAGGUUCGAAAAGGAGAAGCAGAUGGAUCUGCCACCACACACAAUGUCCCUUCUGUCAUAGGUUGUGCUGUGACCGCCCCAUGGCAGCGGCCAGAUGGAGGUGGAAUGGGACCAAUGGGAUCAAUGUGGUGAUGCCUACAAUCUUCUCCCUGCAUCACCUCAGAUCCACAUACACAGAACCACAAAGGCACUUUCCUCUCUGAGUACUUGUCUACCUGGCUACGUCUGCGUCUGACCUGUCUGGAUCUAUGAAAUAUCAAAGCUUGUGUCAGGCAGCGUGAAUAGGGAGAGAGAGGCACCAUUAAUGAUUAACUGUUCUAAAAGCCUAUCAGGCAGGCCAUGUGACAUGCUCGCAGCAUUUUUUGAGCAGAUUGGGGGAAGCUAGUGAGCAAACACAGGUGCUUUGGACUGGAGUCGCCGACGCUGUCAGGGACAACCACAAACAAGAGCAGCACUGCCGAGCUAAAUGAGAGCCCACCCACUUUACUUACUCCCUGGCUAGCUUAGCUUAGUCACUGACUGCAGUGGCUGGAGACCCUCACAGGAGACCAAGUCCAAUGUCCCCCCCCCCCAGUGUUCCAUAACCUUUCACACAAACAAAUCAAACGGGAGGAUUGGAGUCGCUGUGGUCUCAAGCAUAGGGGAAAGCAAACAAAUGAAUUGUGUUCCCGUUCUCACUUUCUAAAACAAACCAAAUGUGGGUUGAACACUUGUUCUUGAGAAAAGUGGAGGCAAUGAGAGAUAUUCCGAAAGGUGCUAAGGGUGUUCAGAAAUAUGCAGGAUGACAAACUGAUUCUCAGGAAAUGGAGUGGUUGAUUUGAUUCUUUCAUUAAUGUUUCAUGACAGGUGGAUGACGAAUAGAUCAUAAAGGCACAAAAGCAUAUUUUCUGUCAACAAAGUAAACUGUUUUGUUGUCCUGAUUUUGUUUAGAUUUUUCUGGAGUUGUUUUCAAUGUUUUAUAAACACGGUCUAGGUCCAGACACUUAACCUUUUUCUCCUCAAUAACGCCUGUCCCUUUGUAAAACGACUGAGUGCUUUCUGUAGCACAACUUUGAUAAUACAAUCAGAUGAUAUGAUGGCGUUAACUGAACACGGCUUUCCGGCAGCGAGAUAAAUGAACAGCACGAUAACGUUAACAAAAGCCUAGCUCUGAUUGGUAGGUCUAUGAUUGGAAAACAGGCAGCAUGGAAAGUCUACACAAUGAGGGCAAUUCAUUAGAUUUGUUAUUUUCUACAUGACCUGGGUCAGACGGACACCUUUUGUAUCAGUCAAAUAUUUAUUUGUGUGUUUUACAGGUCUUUCAUUUCAUACCCAGCAAUUACAGUGAGCCUGUAAAGCAGAGAUGAUAAAAGUGUUUUAAAACAAACACUCCAAAUCAACAGGAGAGGAGAUGAAGUUGUAAAGGCAGAGCGAGAGAGAGAGAGAAGCUGAGACAGAACAAGAGGGAGAAAGAGACAUAGAGAGAGAAGCUGAGAGAGAACGAGCGGGAGAGAGAGACAGAUAGAGAGAAGCAGAGAGAGAACAAGAGAGAGAGGGGGGGGGUAAAAACAGGGAAUGGACUCAGAGGGUAUGCUAAUUUGAUAUAGAGCAGACCCAACUCACUCUAUUAAAUGUAUCAAAACAGGAACAUUUUACAUUAGGCUAGAAAUUCAAAAGGAAAUUAUCUCAACAGAGAAAAAUGUCCUCCAGUGUGCUACCUAUAUCCCCCCACUAGAAUCCCCAUACUUUAAUAAGACAGCUUCUCCAUCCUGGAGGGGGAAAUCAAUCAUUUCCAGGCCCAGGGACAUGUAUUAGUCUGUGAUGACCUAAAUGCAAGAACUGGACAAGAACCUGACAUCCUCAGCACACAGGGGGACAAACACCUACCUGGAGGAGACAGCAUUCCCUCCCCCAUAUGCCCCCCUAGGCACAACUACGACAACAUAACCAACAAAAACGGGUCACAACUCCUCCGGCUCUGUCGCAUGCUGGGUAUGUACAUAGUCAAUGAUAGGCUUCGAGGGGACUCCUAAGGUAGGAACACCUAUAGCUCAUCUCUUGUAGUACUGUAGACUACUUUAUCACUGACAUCAACCCAGAGUCACUCAGAGUGUUCACAUUCUGCCCACUGACACCCCUAUCAGAUCACAGCAAAAUCACAGUCUACUUGAACAGAGCACUACUCUAUCAUGAGGCAUCAAAGCCAAAGGAAUUGAAUAAUAUUAAGAAAUGAUAAAGAUGGAAGGAAAGUAGUGUGGAAACCUACCAAAAAACAAUUAGGCAACAACAAAUUCAAUUCCUUUUAGACAACUUCCUGGACAAAACGUUUCAUUGUAAUAGUGAAGGUGUAAACUUGUCAGUAGAAAAUCUAAACAGUAUAUUUUACCUCUCAUCUUCCCUAUCAAAUCUAAAAAUGUCAAACAGAAACCGAAGAAAAUGAACAACAAUGACAAAUGGUUUGAUGAAGAAUGCAAAAACCUAAGAAAGAAAUUGAGAAACCUAUCGAACCAAAAACAUAGAGACCCAGAAAACCUGAGCCUACGCCUUCACUAUGGUGAAUCACUAAAAUAAUACAGAAAUACACUACGGAAAAAAGAAGUAACAGCACGUCAGAAAUCAGCUCAAUGUAAUCCAUAGACUCUAACCACUUCUGGGAAAAUUGGAAAACACUAAACAAACAAUAACACAAAGAGAUAUCUAUUCAAAAUGGAGGUGUAUGGGUAAACCACUUCUCCAGUCUUUUUGGCCCUAUAACAAAGAACAAACAGCAAAAACAUAAUCAUGAUCAAAUACAACUCUUAGAAUAAACUAUUAAAGACUACCAGGACCCACUGGAUUCUCUAACUACAUUGAAUGAACUACAGGACAAAAUACAAACCCUCCAACCCAAAAAGGCCUGUGGUGUUGAUUAUAUCCUCAAUGAAUUGAUAAAAUAUGCAUACCAUAAAUUCCAAUUGGCUAUACUUAAACUUUUUAACAUCACCAUUAGCUCUGGUAUCUUCCCAAAGGAUUUGGAACCACAAAAGUGGAGACAAAUUUGACCCCAAUAACUAUCGUGGGAUAUGCAUCUUCAGCAACCUUGGGAAAAUCCUCUGCAUUAUCAUCAACAUCAGACUCAUACAUUUCUUCAGUGAAAACAAUGUACUGAGCAAAUGUCAAAAUGGCUUUUCACCAAAUUACCGUAUGAUAAAAACCACAUAUUCACACUGCACACCCUAAUUGACAAACAAACAAACCAAAACUAAGGCAAAGUCUUCUCAUGCUUUGUUAAUUUC